RNAcentral lists this long non-coding RNA (1228 nucleotides) under Solanum tuberosum (potato). RNAcentral describes it as "long non-coding RNA (STUB_LNC001663)". Lineage: Eukaryota; Viridiplantae; Streptophyta; Magnoliopsida; Solanales; Solanaceae. The record is from RNAcentral.
UCUGUCGAAGCAUAUUAAAUCAAUGGCUUUGAUUCUCCUAUCUACAACAUGGUUGAGAUAUCUCACACUGUCCAUUUUGCAAGAUGUAGAGAACAGGCCACAAACUCACAAAAGGGCUAGUUUAACUCUGCAUCUGUACCUACAAACAACCAAAAGAAAAACUAUGUCCACUAUAAAUGAAUGCUUUUGAGAUACUGAAAGUGGUUCAUCAUAAGCAGAAGGUGUUGUUUGUCCUUCUAGACCAAUGUUUUCACUAACCUACAUUGCCUUAAGUAUGAGAGUUGCGUCAAUUGCAUCAUUUACUACUUCAACGUCAAAGUGCUCUGCCAAAAGUCGUUGACUCAUAGGAAGAGACGGUACAUUUAGUUUCUUGCAUUUUACUUCUAAUGACAUAUUUCUCAUCAUCUAGAACACUUUAUUCUUCCUUUUCUUAAUCCUUUACAGUGUAUUUACAUAAGAUUAUAUACUUAAUGAUCAACAACAACCUAUUCCUGAUAAAACAAUAUAUCUUUUCUCAAUUAUUUAAAUUUUAGGCAUAGUUUGUAAUGCUUGAGAACUUCCAAUAGCGACAUGAAAGUACAAAAUCUUAACGACCUAGAACCACUAAUACAACUCAUUUAAUAGAAAAAAUGUGAGAAACAAUCACCUUCGAUAGACCUUGAUUGAGUAGAAACCUGUCACUAUAUUUUGACAACCAUUGUCUUAACCAUGGCAACUCCUAAAGAUCCUCCAGUUGAAUUAUAAUUGAAACCGCAAGAAGAAGAAUAUCUCUGCAACAAUUUAAAAAAAAAAAAAGGUAAAUUAUGCAACUUUUAUAAGUAAAUAAUUGACUCGAGAACUUGUUUCGAAUCUCUCCAAAUUUUGAUGAAAGGUUGUAAUUUCAACGGCACCUUAUUGUUUACUUGAUUUACACUAACCUAUAAGUUAAAUAGAAAAUACACUCACCAUAAAUUUAAAAAUAAGUCUUGCAAUUUCAUCAGGAAAAAGUAUAAGCACAAAGGGCUAAGAAGUGCAGUGCAGCUACUGCUAAAUCGUCAAAAAGUAAAAAGAUAAGAAAUGAACAUUUUCCUUUUCAAUCAUGAAUAAAUUGAAUGAUAUACGAUAUUUCUUUGUUAGUGCUAAAUCAUCAAAAAUAGUUGAUAAAAUAUAAAUGCAUUACUGACCUUUAGGAAUGUAGUUGACAUAGCCUUCCUCUAUUCUCUUUGAGUUUUUCUUAUUGCCAUUGACG